Non-coding RNA from Podarcis lilfordi (Lilford's wall lizard), 75 nucleotides. NCBI's taxonomy places the organism in Eukaryota, Metazoa, Chordata, Lepidosauria, Squamata, Lacertidae. The record is from the annotation of a GenBank genome assembly.
AUCUGGAUAGCUCAGUUGGUUAGAGAUUGGCACUGAUGAUGUCACGGUUGCAGGUUUGAUCCCUGUUAUAGGACA